This 406-nucleotide unclassified non-coding RNA is filed under the name soil metagenome. RNAcentral's name for it is "partial contains 5.8S ribosomal RNA, internal transcribed spacer 2, and large subunit ribosomal RNA". The stretch from base 1 to 121 matches the Rfam family "5.8S ribosomal RNA", at positions 35 to 154 of the family's 154-position model. The record is from RNAcentral.
GAUGAAGAACGCAGCGAAAUGCGAUAAGUAAUGUGAAUUGCAGAAUUCAGUGAAUCAUCGAAUCUUUGAACGCACCUUGCGCCCUUUGGCCAUUCCGAAGGGCAUGCCUGUUUGAGUAUCAUGAACACCUCAACUCUUCAUGGUUUUCCGUGAUGAGCUUGGACUUUGGGGGUCUUGCUGGCCUAUGGUCAGCUCCUCUAAAAUAAGUCAGCUUGCCAGUGUUUGGUGGGUAUCACAGGUGUGAUAACUAUCUACGCUUGUGGUUUUCCACCAGGUAACCUUCAGCAGUGGAGGUUCGCUGGAGCUCACAGAUGUGUCUCUCCUCAGUGAGGACAGCUCUUUGAAUGUUUGAUCUCAAAUCAGGUAGGACUACCCGCUGAACUUAAGCAUAUCAAUAAGCGGAGGA